CAGUCGCCGCGGUAAUACAGAGGGUGCGAGCGUUAAUCGGAAUUACUGGGCGUAAAGCGCGCGUAGACGGUUUUGUAAGUCAGAUGUGAAAUCCCUGGGCUCAACCUGGGAACUGCAUUUGAUACUGCAUGGCUAGAGUAUCGAAGAGGGAAGUGGAAUUUCCGGUGUAGCGGUGAAAUGCGUAGAUAUCGGAAGGAACACCAGUGGCGAAGGCGACUUCCUGGUCGAAUACUGACGUUCAUGUGCGAAAGCGUGGGGAGCAAACAGGAUUAGAUACCCGCGUAGUCCCUGUCUCUUAUAC
RNAcentral lists this ribosomal RNA (301 nucleotides) under uncultured bacterium. Its description in RNAcentral is "partial 16S ribosomal RNA". It matches the Rfam family "Bacterial small subunit ribosomal RNA", at positions 509 to 807 of the family's 1533-position model. The record is from RNAcentral.